GGGGCAGCUCUCCGCCUGCUGUCCAAUUGGGGAAACUGGAAUUUUGGCCAGACAAGACACGGUUGUCCCUCUCUUCCUCUGUCAGUCUUUCUCAUAAUUAACUUGCACUCAGUCGUUACUUCAAAUAGACAAUUUGGCAUUAAAGUGAUGAAGACAGAGAAGGACAGACUGUGUCGGAGAGCAGGACAGAGAAGAAUGCAUAUAAAGACCAUGAAGACCUCGCUCCAGCUACAAGAACAGCAGGAAGUCCUACAACAGAUGGCACCCCCCCCCCAAACCCCAGCCCGAGUUUUGAUCAGCAUCAUGGGAUCAUAGAGUUGGUGUGAGAUUACGGAGCGUCACAGGGACUUCUGCCAAAGAGGGGAGGACACGUUAGAGCUGGCUGAGCAGGCUGCAGGGAGGGAGCCAGAGGAACAGAGGUGAGCAAUGGAAACUGGACAGAUAGGCUGAUGUCAGCCAGUUUAAGGAUACAGGUCAUUAGGAUUUGCAGGAAUCAACUGGAAUUUUUCAACAGGCAGGAAUUUCCAGCCAUAACAUCAAAUGUUAUGAGAGCACACAAGAGAACAGAAUUAGAAAAUUCUUAAGGCAACGGCUCAGAGAAAAUAUGAGCAGUCUGAUUACAACAGCUGAGGGGGCAACGGUCUGGUGUAGUUUGGAGGCUCAAGCCAUCCUGAAGGAAUGAGCGAGAGAAAGGAAGACAAAGAUCCUCCUCUCGAGGACAAAGAGAACUUUUUGUGUAAUGACGGACAUUGUCAGGUGUAAUGUACUGUACAUCUAUUUCUGCAAAUAAGUAUAUCUAGACAUGUAAAACAGCUUGUUUUGCACAGCUAGAUAUGCUUUACAUAUGCAAUUUUAAUUCUGUUCAUUUCCUGGAUGUCUGCAAAAACAAUUUAUUUCAUUUUUUCUUUUGCGGCGUCAGGCUCUUAAUACCUGCUGUGAAGCAGUCAGAACAAAUUAUGGCUGGUUUGACAGGAUUAACAUCAUUUGCUCUCGUACACUGUAAUGUUUCAAUGUUUUCAUUGUCGUGGGAAAGGUUUACCCAACAUAACCCCCACACCCACCCAAGUCUCUGUGUUUUCCAUUUAGGCUUACACAUAACAGCAUCAGUCCCCCAUACGCAGGCUCAAACAGAAGGAGAGUUUCACUAAAUGAAUAAAAGUGGUGGCACAUUACCCCUACAGGAGCCCCUACUCAACCCAUACCACGAAGCUCCCGGUGCACGUUUUCUGUGCUGAUGGUCUUUUUCUUCAUCGUUAUGUCCUGGCUUGGCUUGAGUUAUGUUGCCCUAUAACUUUGUGUGUCAACUGGUUGAGUUGAUGUGGUUCUUAGACACUUCCAGUUUAAAAUAAUAGCAGUUACAGUUGAUUAUAGAAUGUCCAGGGAACAAAUUGCACUUGUUGCAUUUAUUAUAUAUAUUUAUAUACUUGUGCUAACUAGGCCAAUUCAAAGAUAUUGAAUUUGACCCAGUACAGCACAGUUUAUCUCAUUUAGAUUGGGACUAGCAAAAAUGGAUCGCAGGUGAAUGUUGUAAUCCUUUUGUAAAUUGGAAGCAGAGUUGGGUGGAUAAUAUGAGCGCAUUGUGCAACACAGUCAUGUGUUCUGGCGAGCUGAGCGUCCUACAAAAACACGAGAGACGAGACUACAACCUGCCUUCCUCCCCUCGCCUCCAACCAGAUGACCGCCCCUCCCUGAGCCUGGUUCUACUGGAGGUCACUUCCAGUUCAAGGGGAUUUCUUCCUUCCCACUGUUGCCAAGCGCUUGUUCAUGGGGGUGUUUUGAUUGUCGGUGUUUUCUCUGUAUGAUUGUAGGGUCUUUACCUUACAAUAUGAAUCGCCUGCUGGAGGCAACUGUUCUUAUGAUUUGGAGCUAUAUAAAUAAAGCUGAAUUGAACUGA
Molecule: long non-coding RNA, 1894 nt
Organism: Haplochromis burtoni (Burton's mouthbrooder)
Lineage: Eukaryota; Metazoa; Chordata; Actinopteri; Cichliformes; Cichlidae
Exons: 4
Source: RefSeq, a predicted model, not a curated record